RNAcentral lists this ribosomal RNA (409 nucleotides) under uncultured eukaryote. RNAcentral's name for it is "eukaryotic LSU rRNA". It matches the Rfam family "Eukaryotic large subunit ribosomal RNA", at positions 1226 to 1637 of the family's 3401-position model. The record is from RNAcentral.
GAUUCAUCUUGACAGUUGACAGUGCCAUGGAAGUCGGAAUCUGCUAAGGAGUGUGUAACAACUCACCAACCGAAUGAAUUAGCCCUAGAAAAUGGAUGGCGCUUAAACGUAUUACUUAUACUUUACCAUUAAAAUAAAUGCUAAAUUUUAAUGAGUAGGAGGGCGUAUGGAUAAUUUAGAAGAUUAACAGUGAUGUUGAUUGGAAUUAUCUUUAGUGCAGAUCUUGGUGGUAGUAGCAAAUAUUCAAUAGAGAACAUUGAAGACUGAAGUGGAGAAAGGUUUCACAUGAACAACACUUGGAUGUGAGUUAGUCGAUCCUAAACGGUGGGUUAACUCCAAAUACAUGAAUACUUGUAUUCUGUACCGUGAAAGGGAAACAGGUUAAUAUUCCUGUACUAUAUCAAGGAGG